GAUGAACGCUGGCGGCGUGCCUAAUACAUGCAAGUCGAGCGAACAGACGAGGAGCUUGCUCCUCUGACGUUAGCGGCGGACGGGUGAGUAACACGUGGAUAACCUACCUAUAAGACUGGGAUAACUUCGGGAAACCGGAGCUAAUACCGGAUAAUAUAUUGAACCGCAUGGUUCAAUAGUGAAAGACGGUUUUGCUGUCACUUAUAGAUGGAUCCGCGCCGCAUUAGCUAGUUGGUAAGGUAACGGCUUACCAAGGCAACGAUGCGUAGCCGACCUGAGAGGGUGAUCGGCCACACUGGAACUGAGACACGGUCCAGACUCCGACGGGAGGCAGCAGUAGGGAAUCUUCCGCAAUGGGCGAAAGCCUGACGGAGCAACGCCGCGUGAGUGAUGAAGGUCUUCGGAUCGUAAAACUCUGUUAUUAGGGAAGAACAAAUGUGUAAGUAACUGUGCACGUCUUGACGGUACCUAAUCAGAAAGCCACGGCUAACUACGUG
This 497-nucleotide ribosomal RNA is filed under the name uncultured bacterium. Its description in RNAcentral is "partial 16S ribosomal RNA". It matches the Rfam family "Bacterial small subunit ribosomal RNA", at positions 28 to 507 of the family's 1533-position model. The record is from RNAcentral.